GCGAGAAGUGGAGCGAGACUUGGCAGCUCAGUGCGCGAAAACAUUUCAAAUGCGUUCAUAGUAGUGAGGGGCCAAGAAGUUUUCGCCUCGAAGAUAUCAAGUCUGUUUUGUGAGUUCCCCGCGCGUUUCCAAAGGAAACUCUAUGAGGAUAUAGGAGAUAACAUUUUCUACAAAAAUGGCGCGGGGGACUUUUAUUAUUGGACUGUUAUUCCUGUUUGGAUUAUGCGGGACUGCAGCAAUUUCCCUGAGCCUGCCACAUACACUGCUUCUCCUGUCAGCUCAGCAGAUCAUUGUUGUGAGCCAAAUUGAUCCAGACGAUGCCUCCCAAGAUUUUGGUGACUACUCCUACAGCUAUGAAGACAGGUAAGACCUUGCUUGACUCA
This 383-nucleotide long non-coding RNA is filed under the name Haliotis rubra (blacklip abalone). RNAcentral describes it as "uncharacterized LOC124286533, transcript variant X1". The record is from RNAcentral. Lineage: Eukaryota; Metazoa; Mollusca; Gastropoda; Lepetellida; Haliotidae.